AGAGUUUGAUCAUGGCUCAGAACGAACGCUGGCGGCAGGCUUAACACAUGCAAGUCGAACGCUCGUAGCAAUACGGGAGUGGCAGACGGGUGAGUAACGCGUGGGAACAUACCCUCCGGUUCGGAAUAGCUCAGGGAAACUUGGAUUAAUAUCGGAUACGGCCGAAAGGCGAAAGAUUUAUCGCCGGAGGAUUGGCCCGCGUUCGAUUAGCUAGUUGGUGAGGUAACGGCUCACCAAGGCGAUGAUCGAUAGCUGGUCUGAGAGGAUGAUCAGCCACAUUGGGACUGAGACACGGCCCAAACUCCUACGGGAGGCAGCAGUGGGGAAUAUUGGACAAUGGGCGCAAGCCUGAUCCAGCCAUGCCGCGUGAGUGAUGACGGCCUUAGGGUUGUAAAGCUCUUUCGCUCGGGACGAUAAUGACGGUACCGAGAUAAGAAGCCCCGGCUAACUUCGUGCCAGCAGCCGCGGUAAUACGAAGGGGGCUAGCGUUGUUCGGAAUUACUGGGCGUAAAGCGCGUGUAGGCGGGUCUUUAAGUCAGGGGUGAAAUGCCAAGGCUCAACCUUGGAACUGCCUUUGAUACUGGAGACCUUGAGUCCGGGAGAGGUGAGUGGAAUUGCGAGUGUAGAGGUGAAAUUCGUAGAUAUUCGCAAGA
This 653-nucleotide ribosomal RNA is filed under the name uncultured bacterium. RNAcentral describes it as "bacterial SSU rRNA". It matches the Rfam family "Bacterial small subunit ribosomal RNA", at positions 8 to 705 of the family's 1533-position model. The record is from RNAcentral.